This 1397-nucleotide long non-coding RNA is filed under the name Nicotiana tabacum (common tobacco). Its description in RNAcentral is "long non-coding RNA (NTAB_LNC014449)". The record is from RNAcentral. Lineage: Eukaryota; Viridiplantae; Streptophyta; Magnoliopsida; Solanales; Solanaceae.
UAUUCUGACACAUAUAAUCAUUGUGGUUGAACACGGGAAAAUAGAAUUGUAUUAAUAAAUUGCAGACAGAAGCAUAUAUUCAUAAUCAUCAACCCACAAAGCUAUAUUACUCUUUCUAUUUAACCAUUCAAUAUGUACAUAAAUUAAUGGUUCGUCUUGGUAUUAGAGGAUGAGAGGCAGAACUCAUUAAACUAAAGAUUCCCUCAAAUAUUUUUGAUUACAAGGUCACGGUCUGAGACCUCAUUAACUCUUAAAACAUACAGAGAAGGAAAAUACUUUUACUACAUUCAUUCGGUCAGAUUUUUUCUUUCCGUAAGUUUUAAAAUUAAUCUCUUCAAUCGAAGAUUAUCAGUUCAAAUAUCCAUGCUCUGAUACCACAUGUAAGCAUAAACUUUAAUUUACACCAAAAUCUUGAACAUGAUAAUCUUACACAAAAUCGUUACAGAAAACAUACCUGAAGCGGAAUCCAUUAUCUUGAAGCGGAAGCAUUAAUCGGUAAUUGGUUUCUCGCCUCUUACCCUAACUUUACGUUAGGACCGACUUUAGUGAUGGAAGAGAGAAUAAAAAAAUACGGUAACCCUAAUGGGUGGGGAGAUGACCAAUUUAUAGAGAUUCUCACUUAAUCUGGUACGUCCAUCAAGUGACCAAUCGGACGGAUGAGAUUUAAUAAUUAAUUAAAUAUUAAUUAUGGGCCUUAACCUACUGGGUCACAUACACGUAGGAAAAUAACUUACAGUGAUCACCCAUGGUAACAGGUCGGAGGAGCACUGCUCUGAUAUCAAUGAUACGCAUUAUACAUAAUUAGAAGGAGAAUAAGCAAAACCUAAGAAGCAAAUGUGCAGAGUUGCUCCUAAACAGUUGAGUUUGAUGGAGAAGAAGAAUAAAAGAAGAGCUGAGAGAGAUAAGAGGGAUUCUUAGUAAUUAAAAUGUUUGAAUUAAUUGUACAACUAAAUCCAUUGUUAUGUAUACACGAGCAAUUCGAAAGAGAAAAGGAAUCUGGAAGUUAAUUAUAACUAACUCCCUCACAGUUGUACCAGAAGUCAUAUGCGGCACGUGACCUUAACUAACAUCUAAUAAAUUGAUUAAAUCUUCAACUAAAAUACAAAUUGGCUUCAACUAAAAUAUGACUUGGCAACUAAAAUAGCUAAUCUGGAAAUCUAAUUGAACCGACUCAUAUCAGUUUAAUAUCAAAAUAACCAUCUAAAUUGCUGAAAGUUUGCAAAUUCAAACUUCCUUUAUGGGUGAUAUCAAUUCCUGAAAAAGAUUUUAAAAAAAAAAAAAGAAACUGUGAAAAGGAAAUAUUAAAAAAAAAAAAAAAGAUGCGAGAGAAAUUAAUUACAAUUGGGAAGAGCUUUGUGUAUCUUCUGCAAUGGUUAGCCGAACUUCUGAGUUACAAG